This 170-nucleotide microRNA precursor is filed under the name Medicago truncatula (barrel medic). RNAcentral's name for it is "MIR2619 microRNA precursor family". It matches the Rfam family "MIR2619 microRNA precursor family". Lineage: Eukaryota; Viridiplantae; Streptophyta; Magnoliopsida; Fabales; Fabaceae. The record is from Rfam by way of RNAcentral.
AAACAGUCAUCUAUGUUUUGAUUCUUUAGCAGUUUUGGACCCCCAAGGCAAAAAAAAAAAAAAAAAUUGACAAGUGCCACCUCCCUUAGGGUGCCACGUCAGCGUUGACCGAGUCAACAAUGGAUUGGGGGUCCAAAACGGCCAAAAAAUUAAAACAUAGGGGGCUGUUU